ACACUGAAAAAAAUGAACUCCAACUAAGUAGCAUUUUCUCUUAGUUGGCGUUAAAAUAAUUGAAAUGACCUUAUUAUUGUUUACUGAAACCAAAACCAUGUAGUUGUAACAGAAACCUGAAUAUGUUUGAAGUUACACACAAGUAAAUGUUGAUGUAAUAAAAACUUUUUAUAAAAACAACUAAUACUUUUUUGAAUUCAUACACUACACUCGUUAAAUUAGUUAUUUUCUAUAAUUUACACUUGCAAAGACUCUGUGCAUGCAUUAACCAUUUAUGUCUAUUAUAUUAACGAGGCGCAAAGUUAAAAUAAUAACUGGAUAUGUUACAUUAAAGACGCUAUGAAGUAGAACAAAACAAGACAAAAUGUAAUAUCUACCAUUUUCUUUAGUAGCACCAAUUAUUUAGUAUUUAGUCGUAUUAAUUAUUUACAAUGUUACUGCAAAUAAUUUAUGUGGUAUAUAAACAAUGUUGAUUAUAAAAUUAAACAUAAUUAAGUUAUUGUUUGAAUAAACAUAAUGAUAGCAUUUACAAAUUAUAAUAAGUUAUUUUAAUCAUAUAAAGUGAUAGUUGUGUUCAACUAGGUACGUUAUACCUAACAAUCUUCUUAGUAGAUUCAAAUAAGAUUUGACUGAAACUAAUAAGAGCGAGUCCCCCCACGCGUCUCCCUUCCCCCGCGCGCGGCGCGUCUCGACUUGCCGUCUGCCGCCACGCGCAUUUUCCGGCGACGCUUCAAUAGCGCCACAGCUGAGCAUUGUGGAGUUCUGCCUCUGGCAACGCGAGCGCAGCCUGAAGCCUCUAUUUAGUGAUCCGCUUACUGAUACUUACGUAUUGAUAGUGAUUUUGUGUUGUUGUGGUCCAGUCAGAAAUGGAUGACGUUGCCGAACUUUUGAAGACCUGGGAGCUACACGACUUAGUACCAAUUUUUACAGGUAAGUACCAUAGAAAUAUAAAGCCGAGAAACCUAGUUCACGCGCCAAAGUGAGGCCAUUUUUGUAAGCCAGUUGGCUUACUACGCCAUACAUUAUUGCUGCGUUUGUGUGCGUAAUGGCGCGUAUGAAUAGGACUUUUUCACAACUACAUGAAUCCAUUUUCGGCCUCAGUUUUGACGCGUCGCCCGUAUGAAACUAUCCUUCUGGGCUUUAUAUUUCUAUAACAGCGGAUGACAAUCCAGGCGUUAUCGGCUCUGACUCGAGAGGACUUGAAGGACCUUAUUCCGCAGGCAGGACCAAGGGUGCUAUUUACAAGGUGUUGGCGUUCGUGGAAAAAUGAGUUUUUGCCAAUAAACGAUACUAGUAUACCAUCUUUUUCGGGCCUGGAUUUGUCAAACUUGCAGUUUGAUUGCUUGAAGGAAACUGACGAACUAUCUGAAUGUGUUGUAGAGGUACUGAACAAAAGGAGGCGCUUCCAACAAUUAGGAUCCUUGACAACAAAAAAAAGAAACAGAGAAGAAAGCCCAGGACCAUCUUCUUCAUCACCAAGACCAAUGCCAAGAAUAAAGAAUAAAUUUAUUGUCAUAAAAACCUUAGUUGGUAAACAACUAAGGUUUAUAUGACAAUAAACAACAUUAAGGUUGAGUCAUCCUAUUAGGUAUUAAUGUAAGUAAGUAUUGUAAAGAAAGAAAAAUAAAGAAAUAAUUACUUAAUGUAUUUUUUUUUAUAAUCUCCUAGGUACAAGGAUUCAAUUAAGAACUUUUUCAAGGUAGGUAGUAUAUUGGUGACUACCUAAAUCGUCGUUUUUAUCAAGUGUAAGCGAAUUCAUGUAACAUACAUAGGCAUUUACUAAGUACAUAGUGUACUGUGUGUACACUUAGUAAAUAUCUAUGUAAGUUACAUGGAUUCGCAUACACCUAGUACAUACGACGGUUAGGUAGUCAUGAGUACCUACCAACUACCUUGAAAAAGAUCUUAAUUGAAUCUAUUUCCUGUCGUGACUACAUCAACAAAUCAUUCUUAAUAGAUUCAAACAAACCUCAAAGUCAAACUAGCCUAGAUCUUAGUUGAAUGAACUUUUAUCUUAGUUGAUGAAGCUAUAGGAUCUUGAGUGAUUCUAUAAAUUAUUUUGUUGUUAUUAUAAAGUUUAAUGCUUGCGUAUAACAACAUAAUAAUUGACAUAAACAAGUGGCCUUCUUUGAAGCAAGCAUUAUUUAGAUAGACUCAACUAAGCGUCUUGGUUAAAUCAACUAUUAUCUAAUUAAAUACAACUGCGAUUACUUGACACAUUGGACCACUUUCAUUAUUCGGAUAACUCUUAUCUUAGUUGAUUAAGCUAUAGGAUCUUGAGUGAUUCUAUAAAUUACUUUGUUGUUAUAAUAAAGAUUAAUGCUUGCGUAUAACAACAUAAUAAUUGACAUAAACAAGUGGCCUUCUUUAAAGCAAGCAUUAUUUAGAUAAACUCAACUAAGCGUCUUGGUUAAAUCAACUAUUAUCUAAUUGAAUACAACUGUGCGAUUACUUGAAUCUACAAAUGAACUUUAUUAAUAUAUUAAGGUUUAAUGCUUAUACUGGACAAGAUAAUUAAUGAAACUAACUAAUCAGUGUUUAUUAAUUCUACAACAGUACUUGAUAGCCGGAACUAAGAACAUUUUAACGAAAUUCUCUUUGUCACAGUAGUCAUGAUCUUGACAGGCUCAUAUGGAGACAAGAUACAUGAUUUUAAUAAACAAGAUCUUAGUUAAAAUGAUCAAAAAUUUUUU
Molecule: RNA transcript, 2693 nt
Organism: Cydia pomonella (codling moth)
Lineage: Eukaryota; Metazoa; Arthropoda; Insecta; Lepidoptera; Tortricidae
Exons: 4
Source: RefSeq, a predicted model, not a curated record